RNAcentral lists this ribosomal RNA (425 nucleotides) under Staphylococcus arlettae. Its description in RNAcentral is "bacterial SSU rRNA". It matches the Rfam family "Bacterial small subunit ribosomal RNA", at positions 943 to 1367 of the family's 1533-position model. The record is from RNAcentral. Lineage: Bacteria; Bacillati; Bacillota; Bacilli; Caryophanales; Staphylococcaceae.
GGUUUAAUUUGAAGCAACGCGAAGAACCUUACCAAAUCUUGACAUCCUUUGACCACUCUAGAGAUAGAGCUUUCCCCUUCGGGGGACAAAGUGACAGGUGGUGCAUGGUUGUCGUCAGCUCGUGUCGUGAGAUGUUGGGUUAAGUCCCGCAACGAGCGCAACCCUUAAACUUAGUUGCCAGCAUUUAGUUGGGCACUCUAGGUUGACUGCCGGUGACAAACCGGAGGAAGGUGGGGAUGACGUCAAAUCAUCAUGCCCCUUAUGAUUUGGGGUACACACGUGCUACAAUGGACAAUACAAAGGGCAGAUAAACCGCGAGGUCAUGCAAAUCCCAUAAAGUUGUUCUCAGUUCGGAUUGUAGUCUGCAACUCGACUACAUGAAGCUGGAAUCGCUAGUAAUCGUAGAUCAGCAUGGUACGGUGAAU